Carassius gibelio (silver crucian carp) is the source of this 446-nucleotide long non-coding RNA. RefSeq lists it as uncharacterized. The transcript has 3 exons. Lineage: Eukaryota; Metazoa; Chordata; Actinopteri; Cypriniformes; Cyprinidae. The record is from RefSeq and is a predicted model, not a curated record.
AGCAGGAUUGGACACACCUGAUUUAUUCUAUAAGACUAGUAUCUGUUUGAGAGGUGUUAAUACAAAGUGUCAUGGUGUGUUCAGGUUGUGGUGGGAGAACCAUGGAGUGUUCACCACCAAACAAAAAGAAUCACUGGCCUCUGUGUCACUAGCCCGCAUAAUCUGUGACAACACUGGAAUCAGCAGAGUUCCCAACGAUCCUUUCCGCUUCACCAGUCCUUCCGAUUUUAUCAACUGUGAGGAUAUCCCAGCGCUUGGAUUGAAACCGAUACAGACCUCUUCCAAGGACCUCGGGGAGCCAGAGGACCUCCGGGGAAACCUGGUCCACAAGGUGUAGCUAGCCCCCCUGGCUCUCCAGGACCUCCCAUUAAUACCACAGGACAACAGUCUGCCUUCUUUGCUUAUGUUGGCACCAUCAUUCGUGUCUCUGCUAAGGUUGUUGUGUU